CACAAGGUCGACGGAAUGGUCUCACGUGUACUUAAACUUUUUAAAAUAAAUUUUUGUUGAUUUUUUGAAAGAAGAAAAAAAAGGUUUUCAGUACAAGGCCGACGGAAUGGUCGCACGUGUGCUUAAACCUUUUGAAAUAAUUUUUGUUAAUUUUGAAAGAAGAAAAAAAAGGUUUUCAGCACAAGGUCGACAUAAAGGUCGCACUUGUACUUAAACCUUUUAAAAUAAAUUUUUGUUGAUUUUUUGAAAGAAGAAGAAAAAGGUUUUCAGUACAAGGCCCACGGAAUGGUCACACGUGUGCUUAAACCUUUUGAAAUAUAUUUUUGUUGAUAUUUUUUUUGAAAGAAGAAGAAAAAUGUUUUCAGCACAAGGCCGACGGAAUGGUUGCACGUGUGCUGGAUCCCUUUUAAAAAUAUUUUUAUUGUUUUAAUAUUUAUUUAAAAGUUGAUAAAAUAAAAUAAAUAGGUAAAAAAAAAACUAAAUAAAAUAAAGAGUAGAAAUAAACUAAAAGUUAAAGUAAAAAGGUGUGUGGUGGUGCUUAAAUAAGAGAAAGGGGUGUCUAAACCUAAUUUACUUUUGAUAACAUAUUGGGCCUAAGUCCAAGGAAGAAAAAGUGGUAAAAAUGAAAAGGGUGUUUCAUCCUAUACCUCCAAGCC
Molecule: long non-coding RNA, 656 nt
Filed under: Vigna radiata
Lineage: Eukaryota; Viridiplantae; Streptophyta; Magnoliopsida; Fabales; Fabaceae
Description: long non-coding RNA (VRAD_LNC007141)
Source: RNAcentral